GAUUGCAGAAGGAGCGUUCUGCCUCUUUGCGUCUGGGGAGGUGACUGUGUGGCGAGGCAUGGCACCGGGAUUUGGGCAGUGGGAAAUCCCCGAUGGAAACCCCCACCCCUCCCGGAUACAGUUGCCGGUGAAACUGCAACAAUGUUGCACAGUUCUAUCUUAGAACGUGGGGCGUAAAGAUACCGCACACUUGUGAGGGUAUCUUAGAAAGAAGCGGGAUGGUGUCCUUUCAGAGGGGGGGAAAAAAAAGGAUAGGGCUGUACAUGUUAAAUAUAUUGGGUAUGUGGCUGUGUUCAGAGAGUUGAUCAGUUCUGUCUGAGGACAGAGAGACGUAGUCUGGCCACGUUGCUGGGUUUCUGGUUUGGGGUAAUGGGCUUUACUAGGCCCCAGGAAUGCUGUAUAAGCCAUGUGGCUAUCGUUUGAGAGAGACUAAGUUGGCAGCAAAAAAUUGAAUGUUCCGGAAGGCAGUUUUCUCUGUGGGGCUGAAUUGAUCGUGAAUUGAGAUUUGGUGAUGCUCAUUAAUUGUGUGUCUUCAACCCAAACAUCUGGAACUGUUCUCAAACGGAAGUGGACAUUUCAUCACGUGCGUGGGUUUCUUCAUGGAGUGGGUUUUAAAAACUAACUUCUAGUCAGAAUUUUCAGUCCUGGCAUCUGCAUUUUGGUUGUUGCAAUCUCCAGUGAAUGGAAGGUGCUUGUAUUAUGCCAUUGGUCUGUUCUCUACAAACUGGGAUGAGCCCUCUUCUUCCAAGUCUCUCGCCGAGGUAAUCACUGUCCUUUUUUAAUUGGUCUGGUUCACAAUUGCAAUUCUGUCUCAAUAAAAGUAACUCUUUUAAAAAUUUA
Long non-coding RNA from Stegostoma tigrinum, 840 nucleotides. RefSeq lists it as uncharacterized. The record is from RefSeq and is a predicted model, not a curated record. Lineage: Eukaryota; Metazoa; Chordata; Chondrichthyes; Orectolobiformes; Stegostomatidae. The transcript has 3 exons.